GAAAUACCUGUAAAAUGAGAAGAAAGGAUAUUUGGACGUGGAUGAGCAAAAUACAUCAGAGGUAGAGGAGGAAGAUGUACAUAUUAACCAGAGGCCAAAAGCAGCUAUAGAGCGACCGCCAGCAAAAAGACAAUCGAUGGCCUCUCAAAAACAUUUACUUAAUUUGGCAUGUGAGUAUUUACAACGCUCAGAUGAAUAUGAAAACAUCGGAAUAACAUGGGAGAAUGAAUUAAAAAAAGAUGAAUUCGGAGCAACAAAUUUAUGCAAAAAAAGCGAUCAACGAUAUUUUGUAUGAAGGACAGUUAGCUUUUCAACACCAACCUCAGCAGCUAGAAAGGUCCAAUUGGUCAUUUGUAACUACUACACCACUCGUCACCGCUGUCACCGCAACCGACAUUUCCACAAGGGCAAACGGAG
Long non-coding RNA from Anthonomus grandis grandis, 417 nucleotides. RefSeq lists it as uncharacterized. The record is from RefSeq and is a predicted model, not a curated record. NCBI's taxonomy places the organism in Eukaryota, Metazoa, Arthropoda, Insecta, Coleoptera, Curculionidae. The transcript is spliced from 3 exons.